UGUUAAGUGUCUUAUCUAAUGCACUUCCUCCAAAGUGUGAUGUCACCAUCAUCUCGGGAUUUUACUCUGGAUGGAGACGCCAUCUUGUUACAAAGAUCUCCCUCACCGGCCCACUUGGACAGACAUGCGGCUGGGGAGGGAGAGGACCCGGCGGAGCUCUAUCUUGCAGCUCCGCCAGGUUCCUCCCGGAGGCUAGACCGGGAUGGUGUCUGAG
RNAcentral lists this long non-coding RNA (214 nucleotides) under Pelobates cultripes (western spadefoot toad). Lineage: Eukaryota; Metazoa; Chordata; Amphibia; Anura; Pelobatidae. The record is from RNAcentral.